UAAGGAAUAUUGGACAAUGGACGCAAGUCUGAUCCAGCCAUGCCGCGUGAAGGAUGAAUGCCCUCUGGGUUGUAAACUUCUUUUAUAGGGGAAGAAAGAUACUUUUUUUAAGGUAGUUGACGGUACCCUAUGAAUAAGCACCGGCUAACUCCGUGCCAGCAGCCGCGGUAAUACGGAGGGUGCAAGCGUUAUCCGGAUUUACUGGGUUUAAAGGGUGCGUAGGCGGGCAUGUAAGUCAGUGGUGAAAUACCGGAGCUUAACUUCGGAACUGCCAUUGAUACUAUAUCUCUUGAAUAUUGUGGAGGUAAGCGGAAUAUGUCAUGUAGCGGUGAAAUGCAUAGAUAUGACAUAGAACACCGAUUGCGGAGGCAGCUUGCUACGCAAAUAUUGACGCUGAGGCACGAAAGCGUGGGGAUCAAACA
This 422-nucleotide ribosomal RNA is filed under the name uncultured bacterium. RNAcentral describes it as "bacterial SSU rRNA". It matches the Rfam family "Bacterial small subunit ribosomal RNA", at positions 355 to 774 of the family's 1533-position model. The record is from RNAcentral.